GGUGCGGUGGGAGGGAAGGGGGGCCUUGCCGAACAGUGGCAUUGGGCGCUUCAGGCAGGAGGCAGGCAGCGAGAUCUCGGGUGUGGAGCCCUGCCCUAUUAUUGCAGGAGUGUCAGGAGCACGCUCUGGAGGCACACACACGAGUGUGUCUUUCCCCAGUGUCAGCUUUAUUCAAUCACGAAGCAAAGUAAAUCACGAUUAGAAAGUAGGUUCAGGAUUCCAGACUCGAUGAUAAUUCACAUGUGGUUAAACUUGGCUUCUUACACAGCACACAAAGCAGGGGAGAAGACGAACCA
This is a long non-coding RNA of Neomonachus schauinslandi (Hawaiian monk seal), 296 nucleotides long. RefSeq lists it as uncharacterized. The record is from RefSeq and is a predicted model, not a curated record. The transcript has 2 exons. NCBI's taxonomy places the organism in Eukaryota, Metazoa, Chordata, Mammalia, Carnivora, Phocidae.